ACGCUCGACACCUACGGGAGGUAGCAGUGGGGAAUAUUGCACAAUGGGGGAAACCCUGAUGCAGCAACGCCGCGUGAAGGAAGACGGUUUUCGGAUUGUAAACUUCUGUUCUUAGUGAAGAUAGUGACGGUAGCUAAGGAGCAAGCCACGGCUAACUACGUGCCAACAGCCGCGGUAAUCUGAGCGGGCUGGCAAGGC
RNAcentral lists this ribosomal RNA (198 nucleotides) under uncultured bacterium. RNAcentral's name for it is "partial 16S ribosomal RNA". It matches the Rfam family "Bacterial small subunit ribosomal RNA", at positions 328 to 539 of the family's 1533-position model. The record is from RNAcentral.